GAGCGGCGGAGGGGCGGGCGGCGGUCCGAGGGGUCCCGGCUCCUGCCCUUGGCCGAACUGUAUCUGGGUUGUGGCCAGAAGAGGGGAAAAAAAAAUCUCAUGGGCUGAGCACAUGGUCUCCUAAACUGUACUCUUGGCUCUCGGUGAUUACAGCUGGAGGAAUUCUAAACAGUUCACUUCUCCUUGUCAUGGUGUUUGAGCGCAUUGUGCUCCGUCUGAACAGAGGAAAUCACUGAGCAGGACUGAAGGGGGUUUUACUCUGGCAUUGGUUCAGAAUACCUGCAAUGGCUACAAGGACAAGUAUUAUAGAGUCCUUGAUCUUGAAGAGUGACUGAUGGAAAGAAGCAGUGCAGGAAAGGCCUUGGCUCUGGUCCUUGGCUGGAUGGGCAAGAAGAGGCCUUUGGCAGAGAAGGGAGAAAGGUUUUCCCUCACAGCUGAGUCAGCAGAAGAGAGCGUUCUGUGUCUGACCCUGCUGGGUUAGUGCUGCCUAUCUCAGCUCAGACCACAGUGUGACAGUGCUGUGACUACCCUGGCCUUUGUCCUGGACUGGCUGGUGUAGGGAUGUGUAUUUACACCAGCUGACCAUGGUGCAGGGAAGUAGCCUCUGGAAGAGAGUUGGCUGGAGAGUAUGACUGGAACUGCUGGACAAAAGUUGGUGGAACUCUUCUGAGAACUCCUAGAUUCCAUAUUAGGAUGGUGGCUUUUCCAGUGAUCUGCAAUGAACAGCUCUGCUGUUGGCCCUAUCUGGAUCUUGGUCUCCUGUUUUAUAGAUUUUAUAGGUAAAACAAAUUUUACAUUGUUGUGAACUUGCUUCCAGGCACCGAUUCUUAUAAUCCAUAAACCACAGUAAAACUGUGGCCUUGCUCUUCAGCAAUUCUGCAGUCACCUAUCUCUGAGACAUUGUAUUUCACCCUUGAAUAAGAUUCUAGACCAAAAAAAGAGUUAGACUGCAUACAGAUUAACAAAUGUAUUGCUUGUAUCUCUGGCUACUGCAGCAUGACUCACCCAUCAGUGCUUGUCAGAGUCUGGCGUGACCUCAUUGAAAGCUUCAACAUCUCUUAUGUGAAGGCAGGUUGUAAUCCAGUGUGGGAAUCCUAAAUAGGUGGGGAAUGAAGUUCCGAGAUUGUGAUAAUGCAUACAUCAUAAACAUCUCCCUGGAAAUCAAUUAUGCCCUUACCAGGAAUAUUCUUACAGAUUUCUGAGAUCUCUUGGUGCUAAGCCUGCCUUUCCCUGCUUUUAUUUAAAAAACCACCUGUAUUAUUCAAGACAGCAACAGAAAUCAAUACUGGUGGGAAAAUUUAAGAGUGAAUGGGACAUGUCAAGGAGGAGAUGCUCUGCUAUUUGCAAGGACAAGAAAGAGCUGAUGGUUCCUUUUUAUGUAUGACAGCUUCUAUAUGCUUUUGUUCUUUUUUUUUUUUUUUCCUAUGUCAGUAAUGAGGCUUCUGGUACACAGAUAUCUGCUGCUACUGGAACUGAAAGUGAAAUCCCUAGCUGUUGGUCUGGUUGCUGUCCUUGGGACAUGUGAAUGUCUGCUCCUGUUUUGCUGUAGGUAAUUUCUGGAAGUGGCAAAGUUGUCUGUGCCAGCCAGGAAGCUUUGUCCGUAAGCAGCAACAGUUACUGUCCCUUAGUUUCUCAAAGCUGCAGCUCCUCAGUGGUUCCACAGACCUGCUUUGUCACAGAGUGUCAGUAACUUCACAGAACUCACUGCACCUGCUGCUGUACUUGGGAUCAACUCUGGCAUCUGUCUAAAUGUCGGAAGCAAAGGACUGGAUACCCUAAACAGUAACUGCAGUGGAGCCAUUUCCAGGAGGUCAAAGUCUACUGCAAGCAGUGACCGAUACAAUUCCCUGUGUAAGUCAGGCUGGACUGCCUGUGCCUCAGGUUCUAACAGCAGGGGAGUUUGUGCAGGAGCACCUUGGUAGGUGUUUGUCUGGAUUUCUCGGUGGUCCCUGUGAUGAUCCUAGGAAGCAGGAGGAGAUCCAGAAUUGUCUGAAAGCCAGGAUUCUCUGAAAUCCCAGAGUAGUGAUAAGACUUGUGGCUGAGGCCAACCUGCUAGCCUGCUUCCUAUUCUGCUUCUUGUACGUAUCCAAGAAGCUGUCUCCAGUUUAUACUGCUGUACUCUAGUAAACAAUUUUGCAUGCAGAUAUGGGCAGCAGAUGUUACUCAUGCCUGUGUGAACACUUCAGUGUUUUUACAACAGGGAUGAUCCUUGGAGUGAGUCCUGUUAAACAAUGGAUGUACCCACCAGAAGUCCCACAGGUUACAGCCAUUCUGUUACAGCUUGCUCAAAACACUUUGAAGGAUGGUCACGCCAUCCUUCUUUGGCCACUCAAGGGGAUUGACUCACAAAUACGAGCAAAAUAAAAUUAGAUGGCUUAAGUAGCUGCAACCCCAGCUGUGUCCCCGCUGCCCAAUUCCCAGAAGGUCAUCCCUGCAGCCAGGCUGGCUGUGGAAGGCAACUCCUGAGCUGCUGUAGUGACAGCCCAUUCUUCAGGGUGUUAAAAUUUGUCUGGCUCCUCUGUGACACAGUUUAGGAAGCUUAACCAGAAUAAAAAUGUGCACUUUUCCAUCUGAAGAAUUAUUUUUUAGUUUAAUUUCUCAAAUGGGCUCUGAGAAGCAGCAGCGUUGCUGUGAGGGCAGGGCAGGGAGAGAUGACCUUCCCUUUUGGGAGCAGCCAUUACGUCAGUUUUGCUGCCUCACAAAACUAUACCCUAUGGUUAUUUUUGGUGCUGGACUGCCUUAAUUUUCUGGAGAGUGAAUGAAGGAUUAGCAUAGUGUGCUUAUGAUAUUUGGAAACUAAGCUUUUAGGAAAAAAAAUCAUAAUUCAGCAUGUGAUGAGGUAGAAAUGCUUAAAUUGUUAAGGAAGGGAAAGAUGAGCAAAACGUGAAUUUUUUACAAUUUUUACAAUUCAGUUAGGGGGUUAAAUCCUUUUUUAAUGUUUUGGGUUUUGCUGCUUUUUAAGACCUCUAACCCAAUGCCUACUAUCCAGCUGCCUCUAGAGAGAGAAGUCUUUAAAGAGACCAGCUUUGUACCUAUAAAUAAUGUACACAGCAGAGUACAAAAAUGGAGUCAAGGAGAAGCUCCUCCUUACCUGAGUGUAACUGCAGCAGCUCUGUGAGAAUAGCUGUGGUCAGGCUGUGAGCAGCUCUCCUACCCUGUCAUCCAUCUUGACUAAACUGCUUCUGAGAACUAAUUCUGAGAUUCCAACACUUGAAUAUCAACUGGUAAAUCCCAACUGCCUUGUACUGAAACGCAUUAUUUGCCAGCAGCCAAAUGUGGCAAGGUUUUGAACAGUGUGGUUAUAAUCCUGCUUGGAACUAAAGGUCUGCUGGGAUGCUUCAAGUUGGAUGUGUUGGAAUAUGGAGAAUUUUGCAAGUCUGAACCCCUACUAUAAAUGAAAACAUUGUGGCAAAAAAUGUAAAUAAAUGCCACACAUACUUUGUGUAAGAGCCCUUCCCAAUACCUAUAAAUAUGGUAAUUUUGGUGUUUCCCAAUUCUGAGUUUUAAACAGGAGACAGACACAUUAAAUACUCCAAAGCAAGGAUUUUAUUUUUUUCAUGGAUUAAUUUUAUAAUUUCACUUCUAACUUACCUGAAAAGAAUUAAUGGAAACUAAAUGUAGUGUUUUAAAGAGGUUUGCCUUUGAAAGGAAAUAAAUUGUUCUUGAAAAAA
Long non-coding RNA from Taeniopygia guttata (zebra finch), 3671 nucleotides. The record is from Ensembl. NCBI's taxonomy places the organism in Eukaryota, Metazoa, Chordata, Aves, Passeriformes, Estrildidae.